This 378-nucleotide ribosomal RNA is filed under the name uncultured bacterium. RNAcentral describes it as "bacterial SSU rRNA". It matches the Rfam family "Bacterial small subunit ribosomal RNA", at positions 370 to 741 of the family's 1533-position model. The record is from RNAcentral.
AAUGGGGGAAACCCUGACGCAGCAACGCCGCGUGUGGGAAGAAGGCCUUCGGGUCGUAAACCACUUUUGCACGGGACGAAAAGGGAUAUCGAACAAAUAUCCCCGAUGACGGUACCGUGAGAAUAAGCCACGGCUAACUCUGUGCCAGCAGCCGCGGUAAGACAGAGGUGGCAAGCGUUGUUCGGAAUUACUGGGCGUAAAGAGUCUGUAGGUGGUUUGUCAAGUCUUUGGUGAAAGGCCGUAGCUUAACUAUGGGAAUGCCAAAGNGACUGGCAGGCUGGAGGCUGGGAGAGGGAAGCGGAAUUUCUGGUGUAGCGGUGAAAUGCGUAGAUAUCAGAAGGAAGGCCGGUGGCGAAGGCGGCUUCCUGGAACAGUCCU